This 497-nucleotide ribosomal RNA is filed under the name uncultured bacterium. Its description in RNAcentral is "partial 16S ribosomal RNA". It matches the Rfam family "Bacterial small subunit ribosomal RNA", at positions 28 to 507 of the family's 1533-position model. The record is from RNAcentral.
GAUGAACGCUGGCGGCGUGCCUAAUACAUGCAAGUCGAGCGAACAGACGAGGAGCUUGCUCCUCUGACGUUAGCGGCGGACGGGUGAGUAAUACGUGGAUAACCUACCUAUAAGACUGGGAUAACUUCGGGAAACCGGAGCUAAUACCGGAUAAUAUAUUGAACCGCAUGGUUCAAUAGUGAAAGACGGUUUUGCUGUCACUUAUAGAUGGAUCCGCGCCGCAUUAGCUAGUUGGUAAGGUAACGGCUUACCAAGGCAACGAUGCGUAGCCGACCUGAGAGGGUGAUCAGCCACACUGGAACUGAGACACGGUCCAGACUCCUACGGGAGGCAGCAGUAGGGAAUCUUCCGCAAUGGGCGAAAGCCUGACGGAGCAACGCCGCGUGAGUGAUGAAGGUCUUCGGAUCGUAAAACUCUGUUAUUAGGGAAGAACAAAUGUGUAAGUAACUAUGCACGUCUUGACGGUACCUAAUCAGAAAGCCACGGCUAACUACGUG